UACGGAGGGGGCUAGCGUUGUUCGGAAUUACUGGGCGUAAAGCGCACGUAGGCGGAUGGACAAGUCAGAGGUGAAAUCCCAGGGCUCAACCUUGGAACUGCCUUUGAAACUUUCCAUCUUGAGGUCGAGAGAGGUGAGUGGAAUUCCGAGUGUAGAGGUGAAAUUCGUAGAUAUUCGGAGGAACACCAGUGGCGAAGGCGGCUCACUGGCUCGAUACUGACGCUGAGGUGCGAAAGCGUGGGGAGCAAACAGGAUUAGAAACCCUCGUAGUCC
RNAcentral lists this ribosomal RNA (273 nucleotides) under uncultured prokaryote. RNAcentral describes it as "partial 16S ribosomal RNA". It matches the Rfam family "Bacterial small subunit ribosomal RNA", at positions 524 to 796 of the family's 1533-position model. The record is from RNAcentral.